CGAAAAGAGCAGAAAUUCAUCCGCUGUUUGCAGGGAGGCCGGAUUAUGUGGAAUACUUUUUUGAGGAAAAGGGUUGCUUAGUAAAAAUCUUAAGUAUUUUCGUGUAUGCCUAUUCAACUGAAAAGCUCUCUGAUCUCGGGGAUAUACUUACUGGUGGUGAAAAGAAAAGGAAAUGUAAGAAAUUCAGGAUGCUCUGGAACUCUAAAGGCAAUCAUCUCUUGGUCCUACAAUUUCCUUAAUGCCAGAUACCGUGUCUAACUAUCGUUCUUGAUAGUAACUGCAGGCGACCUGUCUUUCCAAGCAACCCUAAAAGAAAGUACCUA
Argiope bruennichi is the source of this 323-nucleotide long non-coding RNA. RefSeq lists it as uncharacterized. The transcript has 3 exons. The record is from RefSeq and is a predicted model, not a curated record. NCBI's taxonomy places the organism in Eukaryota, Metazoa, Arthropoda, Arachnida, Araneae, Araneidae.